This 439-nucleotide ribosomal RNA is filed under the name uncultured bacterium. RNAcentral describes it as "partial 16S ribosomal RNA". It matches the Rfam family "Bacterial small subunit ribosomal RNA", at positions 338 to 795 of the family's 1533-position model. The record is from RNAcentral.
CCUAGGGAGGCUGCAGUGGGGGAUAUUGCACAAUGGGCGAAAGCCUGAUGCAGCAACGCCGCGUGAAGGAUGACGGAUUUCGGUCUGUAAACUUCUAUCAGCAGGGAAGAAAAUGACGGUACCUGACUAAGAAGCCCCGGCUAACUACGUGCCAGCAGCCGCGGUAAUACGUAGGGGGCAAGCGUUAUCCGGAAUUACUGGGUGUAAAGGGUACGUAGGCGGCUGAUCAAGUCAGAUGUGAAAGCCCGGAGCUCAACUCCGGGAUUGCAUUUGAAACUGGUCGGCUAGAGUGCAGGAGGGGAAAGUGGAAUUCCUAGUGUAGCGGUGAAAUGCGUAGAUAUUAGGAAGAACACCAGUGGCGAAGGCGGCUUUCUGGACUGUAACUGACGCUGAGGUACGAAAGCGUGGGGAGCGAACAGGAUUAGAUACCCCCGUAGUC